GUGGGAGUCCUUCUUUGAUAAGUAGUGGACUGAUUCAAAGCAUGUUUGAAUUAAAAAUCUUAUACUUAUUGGGUCAUAAAAAUCAUCAAUAAAUAGAGAGGGUCUCUACCUAUGGAUGCAUAAGAAAUAGCAUAGCAAUCAAAGUGAGAAAAGAGAAAGAGAGAGAGGCAUGAGAGCUAGAGGGUGCACCUUCCCCCUUGGCGUGUCCUCCUCCUCACCGCCCAUCCUUUUCAAGCCAUGGGCCCUUCUUGGGCGUCCUCUCUUGCUGGUGCGAGGCAUCACACCAGCACCUCUCCUUCCUCCUUUGAUAGCCUUCUGAAGGUAUAUCAAUUCAGAGAUUCAUCCUAUUUUUCUGCGUUGCCUGACGUGCGCGCGAAGUAGAGGACCUGCAGUUUCAGGCCUACGUGAAGGUUGAAUCCAGAUUUUGAAGAUUUGAUCCCUAAUUCUGCUAGCAAUCCAGGUAAGGAUUUAAUCCUUAUUUAGAUAGAUUUAUAAAAAAAAUUAGAUGCAAUCCUGCUUAUCCGUGAGAAACAGAUUUUUUUUCUUUCAGGUAUUUAUUCUUUUUGGUCUUUUCUAUAUGGUGUGGAUAGUUGCCAUGGUGUGAAGAAGGCUAAGUAUAGAAUACCUCAGCUUAGUAUGGAACAAGUAUAUUUCAACUCAGCCUAAACGAGGCUUAGGAUAGCUCAGCUUAUAUCAGAAUAGCUCAUCUCAGUAUAGAUAUUGCUCUUCACAGCAAGUAUAUGGCUCGGUAUGUCUCCAAAUUUACGUUUCGGAUAUGAAUCCGAGACAUCCAUGAUAUCACCGCAACACUACUCCCUACUCCUGAGUCUGAGAAUCAGACAAAAGAAGUACUAUUGAAAUGAUGUCUCGGACCUAGAGACGUCCAUCUAUGCAUCCCAUUAAGGCAUCAAGGUACCUGUAGGCAUAAGUCUUUGGCUAGUAUGAAAUUAUCCCCAAUAGAAGUCAAGAUCAGCCUUCUGCUCAUAUUUAGAAUUUUUCAAACUACUUUACAUUAUUUUUAUAAUUUAUAUCCUCUUUUAG
Molecule: long non-coding RNA, 1041 nt
Filed under: Elaeis guineensis (African oil palm)
Lineage: Eukaryota; Viridiplantae; Streptophyta; Magnoliopsida; Arecales; Arecaceae
Description: long non-coding RNA (EGUI_LNC008591)
Source: RNAcentral